RNAcentral lists this ribosomal RNA (397 nucleotides) under uncultured bacterium. RNAcentral describes it as "partial 16S ribosomal RNA". It matches the Rfam family "Bacterial small subunit ribosomal RNA", at positions 359 to 774 of the family's 1533-position model. The record is from RNAcentral.
GAUCUUGCGCAAUCGGCGCAAGCCUGACCCAGCCAUGCCGCCUGAUUGCCUAAUGCCUUAGGAUUUUAAAAUUCUUUCACCGGGGAAGAUAAUGACCGUACCCGGAGAAGAAGCUCAGGCUAACUUCGUGUCAGCAGCCGCGGUAAUACUAAGGGGGCUAGCGUUGCUCGGAGUUAGUGGGCGUGAAGGGCGCGUAGGCGGACAUUUAAGUCAUGGGUGAAGUGCCAGGGCUCAACUCUGGAACUGCCUUUGAUGCUGGGUGUCUUGAGUGUGAGAGAGGUAUGUGGAACUCCGAGUGUAGAGGAGAAAUUCGUAGAUAUUCGGAAGAACACCAGUGGCGAAGGCGACAUACUGGCUCAUUACUGACGCUGAGGCGCGAAAGCGUGGGGAGCAAACC